AAAGACAGCUGGGUGAGAACGACUCAGCCCCGUGUUACUGGUUUUGAAUGAGGAAGGGGCUACGAGCCAAGGAAUGUGGGAGAUGUCUAGAAGCUGGAAAAGGCAAGGAAAUGGAUUCUCCCCGAGAGCCUCUAGAAGGAGCACAGCCUUGCCAACACCCUGAUCCCAGCCAGUGAGACUGUGUGGGACUUCUGACUACAGAACUGUAAGAGAAUACAUCUGGGUUGUUUUAAGCCACUAAAUUUGUGGUAAUUUGUUACUGCGGCAAUAGAAAACUGCAUUGGGUAUCUACAUUUCAUUUCAUUCCAGUGGUACUUAAUUGCUAUUUUAAUUUGUAUUUCUCUGAUUUUGGGGGGAGAGCACAUCUACUGUUCUGUCUAACCAGAAAAGACUCUUCUGGGAAAUGCUCCCUCUCUUCCUUCUAAAUAUGUGGUCCAAAAUCCAGCUGGACACCUGGGGGAGGCUAAGCCGUUCAGAACCUUUCUUUGUAGUUUAAAAUUUUAGGAUUAGAGAAACAAACUCCAUCCUUCUGUGUUAGUGCAGAGGGAGAGGUGAGUCACGCCGACUGCCAGGGGCAUGUUUCUGCCAUCUGCACAAAACCUGCUGGAGAGAAUGAUGCUGACAGGCAGAGGAAAGCAAGCAAGAGGGACAGGGAGAAAGUCUCAGUGGUUUUGGUCACUGAGGUCAGCCGCAUCCCUGCUCUUCUUCAGGCUGUGUGACACUUCCAACAAAUGUCUUUUUUGCAGAAAGGAGUUUGAGUUGUGUUCCUGUCACUUACUACUAAAAGAAUCGUAAUACAGAAAUUGGAACCUGACUGGGGAGUGGAAAUUGGUGAGCCCCAAAUGGCUGAAUCAAGGCUGGUUGGGGAGAGGGGGGUGCCAUGAGUAUCUGUAGACCCUAGGCUGGGAAAAUUGCAUUCCUUAUUUUUAUGUUAUCAAGGCAGUUGGCUAGACUAUCUUCCAGCGGCUCUUGGGACUCCAGCCACGUGCCAUUCAGACUUAUACUUUGGUAUGAAAAUACCAGGAUAAUAGAAUGAGUCAGUGAUUGCUCUCAGCCUGUGGUAGGGUGCCGUAAAAGAGAGGAAGAGAGGACCUGGAAGAAGCAAGCAUUUAGGGAGCCUCUGGACAGACAGGUACAGCUUUAGGAGAGGUCUUUCUGUUGGUAGCCAGCAGUCCCAAAGGGCCAAGGUCACAGAGUCGCGCCCUUUGCUCAACAGCAAAAGCCUAAUGCUCUGCCCUAUGCUAAAGGUUCUGCUCUGAUUCAGAAGCUGUAGAAUCCUGGAAACUGGAGUGGUGAUACCUGGGAAGGACCACAACCAGCCAAGCGCCUCAUGAUGUGCACUCCCUGACUGAUGAGGAAUUGCCAGCCUCCCCCACCACAGCCCAGCGUGAUGCAAAAGUCCCUGAGCAGGGACAACAUUGAGGGCAGAGCAGCCAGCCGUGCCUUCCCUCCUCACAUUUCCCGCUGAGCCCUGGAGGAAGGGCAGAGCCUCCGGAGCUGCCCUGAGAAGCUGGAGCCACGUGGGUGGCGUCCAAUAUGCCCUCAUGCCUUACAGCUUUCUGGGGUUGGUUACUGGCCAAAAGAGACCCCCAAAAUGAAACUCACUAUCAGCUGAUUAAGAUUUCAGAGUUGAAGAGUUAAUAAAGCCCAAGUCUGCCAAACUGAGGUGUGUGAUUACUCCAACCACUAAAGGAGUUAGUUUUCAAACAUUCUUAAUGAUAAGAAUCACCUGAGACGAUUGUUAAAAAUAGAGAUUCCCAAGCACCUCCCCUUGGAGAGUCAGUGGAUGUGGUGUGUGAUUGAAAAUCUGUAUUUUCACUGAAUUCCCCAGGAUAUUUCUAUCAUCCAGCAAGUUCGGGAAACUCUAUCAUGAGGCAAUUCCCAGGUGUCUAGACCAUCAGGAAGUGGUUCGUGAGGCAGUCCAGCCCCGAGUGUGGGGAUCCUCUCCACCACCCUGCUUGCGAGGGGUCUUAUGGACGUGGGCAAGGGAAAUGUUCCCAACAGGCAGAGCCUGGAGAGUCAGCCUGCGAGCAGAGAACUCAUUCUUUGCCAAGAGGCAGGGAUAUUCAACAGCCACAGCUCUGACCUCACCAUCCCUGUCCAGCUGGAUGUGGUUUAAACGCUGGACCAGUGACCACUGCAUAUCGCCUCCUUUUCACUCAUUUUAAACGGUAGCAUUUAUGACGGUUACCCUGUUUUCCACCAGCAUCAUACAUGAGGUGUGUUGGUGGUUAUAGUAAUCACAUAGCCAACGAGGGCAAGAUCAUGGGGAGCCACGAGAAGACUUGACCAAGAGGAAUAGACACACUCAAGAAUCCUGAACUCGGACUUGCUGUCAAAUAGCCCUCAAAGCUAACGCUUCAAGCACCACUCCUAUCCACACCCAAACUCACUCCUUUUCUCCAAAUAUGUAGAAACAAUAUCUAGCAUGUAUGAAACACUUGGUGUGUUCUAGGCACUGCUUAACUGCUUUAUGUGCAUCCGUCACUCAAUCCUCCCAACAGUCCUAUUAGGUAGGUGCUAUUAUUAUCCCUCAGUUCACAGAUGGGGAAACUGAGGCUCAGAGGGAUGAAGACACCUGCCUGAGGUCACGAAGCUAUUAAGUCAGGGAGCCAAGAUCUGCACACAGGCAGUGAGUGCCCAGACCUGAGUUCUUAACCAUCAAUCCACACUGCCUCUCCAGUGAAAGUGAGACAUAAGAAAGAGAGGAAAAUAAAGGAAGACAGCCACAUUUCAGAAGAAAAAUAAACAUCUCUGUGGAUCGGAAAUAGAAAAGAAACAGGAAAACUAAUGUGAAGAAAGGCCGCCAACAAAAGCAAUCAGUGGAGAUAAACUUCCUCCAGAUGAAAAGAAAAUAGUAGAGCAAGAUGAAAAUGAUUGUAAAAAUAAGCACGUUUAGAAUCCUCAAAAGACGAGGGAAGAAAUGAACAAGAGUAAGUGGAUAUGGAAGAAGAACAAUUAGAAACCCUGGAAAUGAAAAAAUCCAGUACUGGAAAUAAAAACUGAACAGAUGAGGGAAGCUCUGCCCCAAACAUAGUUGAAUAAAUAAUUAGUGCUUUGAAAGAUGGAGCUGAGGAGUUCACCCAGAACUCAGCACAGGAGAUAAAAAUGGAAAAUUAUGAGAGGGUAAUUACGAGACAUGGAAAAGAGUUUGAGAGGCUCCAUCCAAGAGGAGAUUCCAAAUAAAGGAUCAGAGCCAACAGCGGAGCCUGAAGAGAUGACAGUGAACAAUUCUCCUGAAUCCUCAGACAGAAAAGUGCCCACUGAAUGCUGAGUAGAAUAAAUAAGAAACCCGUGCCUAUACACGCUGUUCUAAAUCUGCAGAACAUCAAGAAUAAACAAGAAGAUCCUAAAAACAACCAGAGGAAAAAGAAAUUUUCCAUCCAGUAGAUUCCGGACUUGGAGCAGGACACAGUAGCUGGACGGCUUUGAGGUCCAUCCCACCGGGAAGGGGACGGUUGCACUGUGGCAAGAGAGGGAAUUUGGGGGCAUUAUUUGUAUGGAAAGGAAAUUACAUGGUUACGCUGGGAAUCCAGUGAAUAUCCAUUGUUUCACACGCCCAGAAGAGCAUCCCCUUUCCUCCUCGAGAUGUUCUUUCCUGACUAACCACGUGGUUCACAUGCGUGCUCCAUUCUCUUCUAAAUCCUGCCCCAGACACUGUUUAUUAGCCCAAGGAAGAGUACUUGACCUAAGGUGGCCAGUCAGAAUAGCUCAUCCUCAGCUUUGCUUGAUGGACCACAUUGGGUGAAUAAGAGCCCUUCCUUGAGAUUUUUGACCUUGAGACCAGAGAGACCAGGUCUUAGUAGCUCUCUGGAGGCGAAACUGUGAGAGGUGAGCCAUAGGCACUCCUGAAAGCCAUGCUUCCUGCCACGUGGACCAUGGCAAUCUGAGAGAGAAUAAGGUUGACCUGUGAAGAAAAACAAAGACUAGAGACAGGGUGAAUCUCGUCAGCGUGAGGAUCUGGGCCCAGCGUAUCUCUGCUCUUCUAGUCUUUUGUGAAUCUUCUCUAAAUUCUCCCUGUUAACUACACUUGUAAAAUUUAAAUUUCUAUUAUCUUCAAUUAAAUGAAUCUUAGUUAACGGAAUGAUGAGAUUGAUACUUUGUUACUCUUUAACUAUUUGCGUGUUUUCUUUGGGGGAAAUGUUUUUCUUUAUUUAUCUUCUGGGUCAUAUGUGGUUUUUUGUUUGUUUCUUUUAAAUAUGCAGUAUUUCCAAAACAAAUUUCUAUUUUCCAGAUCCCAGUCCUCUUUCUUUUUCCCCUUUCUCCCCUAAAGGCUUCCCCAUCUUUACACACACCCAAGCCAAGCACCUCAGUACCAUCGGCCCCUCCUGCUCUUGAUUGAAACCCCACAACAGAGCAGCCAUCAAAUCUCGUCUAUUCUCCCUUUGGAAAUCUCUCAGAUCUAUCCACUCACUUUUACAGUAAUUAACUCCCCACUGACAGGGUUGCAGGCAACACUCUCUCCUCCUGCUGAGUAUAAUUUGGAACUUUUCUGGAAGGGAAAUCUGGAACUAUAUUUCAAUAUUUAUACUUUUUUUUUUUUUUUUUGCUGAGGAAGAUUCACCCCAAGCUAACAUCUGUUGCCAAUCUGCCUCUUUUUGCUUGAGGAAGAUCUGCCCUGAGCUAAUAUCUGUGCCAAUCUUCCUCUAUUUUUGUAUGUGGAUCACCACCACAGCACGGCGAUUAACGAGUGGUGUAGGUCCCCACGUGGGAUCCGAACCAAGACCACUGAAGUGGAGCGUGUCAAACUCAACGACUAGGUCAUGGGGCGGUCCCAAAAUAUUUACACCUUUUGACCCAGCAAUUGCACCCUAAAAAUAAGGGAGGGAAGUCAAAGAUAAGAACAAAGGUUUUUUAAAAAAACAAGGACAUUUACAAUAAUGACACAUUUUAAAGUGAUAUUUAAUAAGAUAGAGUGUUACUUAAGAUAUAAUGCUUAUAAGACAUGAAACAUAUUUAUAGACAGUGUGAUUCUAAUUUCAUUAAAAAUAUACAUCAAAUUCAAUGAUUAUGCAAAAUUGCAUGUAAUCAAUAGACUUCAUUCUCCCUACCCUCAUUCUCAAACUGGCUGCCCACUGCCCUUCCCUUCUAAGGAUGAGAGGGUGAGGUUAGCCUCAAGGUCAUUAGGGAUUUUUCUCAGUUCAGUGGACAGAGUGCUGAAUGCAGAGUAAUUUUCAACAUCUUCAUAUUGUGACUUUUGUGACAAUAUAGACUCCCCCCAAUUGCUGUUUUCCAUUACUUUCACAGUAACGCAACCCCACACUUAAGACAAUUUAAUUUUUAUUCCCACACACAUCACAUUUUGGUAGGAUUUUACUGUCCUUGUAUAUACCUACAUAGAAAGGAACAUGUAAAGGAAACACACUGAAGUGUUAAUGGUAGUUGGCUUCGCAAGACAGGAGUUGGUUGAUUUUAAUAUUCUCCCAUAUCUUUAAAUAUUUUUGAAAAUGGGAUUGCUGAUGGCUGCUCAGCGUUUCAACAUAUGGGUGCACUCUAACUUAUUUAAUCAAAGCUGUAUUCUUGAACACAUUCUCCGCUGUUGUAAGCAAUGCUGUGGUGAACAUCUCGGGACCUACAUCUCUGCACCAGCUGGGUCCUGCAGAAUUACACAGAUAUGAACCAAAAAGUCUCCUGCCUUCCAGAGCAUGUCCUCCUUAGGAGAGGAGAGCAGACGUUUAGAGAACCAGCUACAAUGUGAGACAUCAUGUGGUGCCUGGGAUACAUCAGGGAACAGAACGAGAUCUCCGCCCUUGUGUGGCUUACAUUCUAGUGAGAGAAGACAGACCACGGACGCUAAGCAAUAAAUCAUGUCUUGGACUAGGACCAGCAGAGUCAACAGUCACUGAAAUGAACGGAGAGAAAGAGCUGCUCGGAAGAAGCAGGUGCUCUGGGCACCUGUGAGUAAACAGUUGGCCUGGGAUGUGUCUCGGACCAGACAAAGUGCUCAUGAUUCACGUGGCUGCUGUCUCAACCCAGACACCAGCGGGUCACUGCUCAUCCUGGCGCAGCUCCCUGAGGCUGGCUGACUGACCAAGACCUCCCAGCCCACCCCUGCAGCCACUAUCUCCUGCACAUGGCCAGGUGCAUAGAAGGGACACUGCUAGCAAGCAGAGGCAGGGGCAAGAACAACGGGGACUGGGCCGGAUGACUCACUGGAAAGCAGAGAGGAACAUGGAGAUGCACCAGCAGAGGCCUCCUCCCCCAGCUGGGGACUGGGCCCCAUCUUGGCUUUGGAGGCUAUGUGUUCAGCAGUUGUGGCAUCAGCCACUUUGUCACCCACCUUCAGGAGAUGACAGAGGGAGCCUGUUCCUUAAGUGUGGCCUUGAAAUGACCCAACAGGUGGCUUCUGGGGAGAUGGGGGGAGAAAGUAUCUGCUCCUGGGGCAGGUGCAGAGGUCUCCAGGGGGCUCUCCCCUCCCCCUCCUGCCCCCCUGGCCAAUUUGUGUGUGUGCGUGCGGGGAGUUGUUAUGCAGAGGGUGAAGAAGUUAUGUAAAAGCUGGAAAGGGUCCUGAGUUCCUGGGCUGAGGAAAAUCCCCCCAGAGUUCUGUAGUUCCCACUAGGAAAUGGGGAAUUCCCAGUAGCUUGUUGAGCGUGGCAGGGGAGGUGGAGGGGAGAAGGAACUAACCAGUCAGGGCUUCAUUAGCAAGGGUAUCCCUUCCUGAGGCAAGUCCCUGCUUAUACCCUGGAGGUAGAAGUGGGCAGUAGGAUCCAAGAUGCCCCUUCAAGGCUCAGGAUGUAGGGUGCUUGGUUCCCAUGCAAGGCAAGGUGGGCUGCCCAUCCCAAAACCCCUCCUCAUUCUGGGCUCCUGGUUCCUCAAGGUGCCUCUUCCUAGUCCUCUCCCAACGCUCCUCCCUGGCACUUCUUUAUUCCUCUCAGUCUUCUCCUCUCAUUUCCCUGCCUAGACUAGGAGAAAGCGGAGGGAAGGUCUUGUUCUCUUUGCAGAGGGUCCGCAGGGCACCCUGAGAAGAGCUGUGCUCACCUGCCUGCAGCAGCCAUGGGCUCAGGCUCUGUCUAGGCAAGUCACUCCAUUGCUCUGAGCCUAGGCUUGUUCCUCUGUAAAAUGACGAUGAUCCUUUGCAAAGCUGCUGUGAAGAGCCACUGUACAUAAGGGCUCUUUGUAAAUUUGCUUUAGACAUUCAGCUAUUCAUUUAUUCAAACAUCCAUUCUGCACAGUAUUUACUGAUGCCUAUGUGCUGGGCACUGUUCUAUGUGCUACAGAGGUAGCAAUGAACAAAAUCGACAGAAAUCCCUGUCCUCCUGAAGCUUACGCUUUAGUGGGAAAGAAGAGCAAGAAACUAACAAACAAAUAAGUAAAUAUUUAAUAUAUAAUACACAUAAUUUUCUGCCAUGCAGAAAAAUAAAGCAGGGUAAGGCAGCAGAAAGUGGAAUGGUUCCAUCUCAGGAUGCACAGGAAAGCCUCUCGGAGGAAGCGACAUUUGGACUGAGACCUGAAUAUAGUAAGGGAGAGGGCCAGGUGACAGUCUGGGGAAGAGCGUUCCAGGCAGCAGGAACAGCAGUGCCAAUGCUCUGAGGCAGGGAGGCACUUGGCUCCAGGACCAGCCUGGAGCCCCUGUGGCUGGUGUGGAGUGAGCAGGGCCAGGGUCGGGGGAUGAGGUCAGAGGAGAAGGCAGGGCCAAGGCCAGGAGGGCUUUGUUUAUCAGCAUAGGGAGUUUGGGUUUAUUCUAAGUAAUGGUUUUGAGCAGAGGAGUGACAUGCUCUGAUUUAUGCUUUUAAGAUUCCGCUGCAUGGGGAGUUCACUGCCAAAGUGGGGUGAGGAGAGCAGUUCUGAGGCUGUGAUCGUCAUUCACCACAUUGAUCCCCCUGCAGCCCUACCUCCAGUUGUCAUCCCAGAGCCAGGCACACAGUAUCUAGCUCCUUUCCUGUCUCUCCUCCUCUCCUCUUCCAAUCUCCAGGGUUACUCCCCACGCUCCACACAGGGGGCUGCCAGCAGCCUGCUCCAAGGGGUUUUUUCAGACUAGACCUCUCUGAGGCAUUCUGUUCUCUGUCCCCUUCUCCUGUUGGGACUCUCCACUCCCUGGGCAUCUUGGCACUCCACGUACCACCUGGGGCCCCCACAUGGGGUGCGAAUACAGAUUCCUGGACAAGGGCCACUCUCCGCCAUCCUUCUCCCCUCCUCCAGGGGCUCCUCUCCCCUGCCUGAGGCAUCAGUUCUGCCCCAGGUCCCUUUCCUCUCACUCAGACCGCAUUCCACUGUGACACCCUCCUGCCACUGCUGCUGGCACAGCUAUUGCACUCCCUGGUGAGUCAUUCCAUCACCAGUGUGCACCAGAUGCCCACAUCGGGCCCUCCUCUGGGUGAAGGUGAAUCAGACAGACUGAACCCCUGCCCUGAGGGAAGUCACAUUCCAAUGGUGGAGACAGAAAAACACAUAAACAACUUUACGAUAGAAUGAUGGGGAGUGAUGAAUGCUAUGAUGAAAACUGAGGCAGAGGAAACAGACAGGGAGUGAUGGGGUCAGGGGCUCCUCCAGAUAGAAAUCUGAGUUAUCUGAGUACUCAAGCCCCAUGAAUGUCUGAGGCAGGCAGAGAAAAGAGCAAGUACAGAGGCCCUGAGGUCAGAGAGGAGCUGGUAAAGAAGGCCAAUGUGGCUGGAGCAGGAGCAGGAUGAGGCUGCCUCAUGAAUAGUUCCAGACUCUCCUCUUUGCCUCAGACUCCGUGUCCUGUGACCAUCUGGACCUCUCCAGCUAGAGGUGAGCUGGGCGUAGCUGCGACUCCUCUUUCUCCCUCACCCCACACUCCUAGCCAAUCACAAGUUCCUCUAAACCCCCUUUAAAAUACUUCUCCCAUCUGUCUCCUCUCUUUCUGGGUCAGGCUCUCACCCUUGUCAUGUGGCUAUUGCAAAGGUCUCCUGGCUGGCUGACCUCUGAUCAGAAAGAUGAUGCAUACCUAGAGGAAGCUGAGUGACGAAGGCAGCCAAUAACACCGUCAAGGGAGGGCUCGGUCAAGGGAGGGCUGGACUGGCUGCAGGAAGCUGGAGGGAGCAGGGCAGGCUUCAUGGAGGAGGGAAAUCCCAUCUGCUCCCAGGUCAAUGACCAUAGACAGAUGGGGUCCCCAAAUCUCUCCUCCAACACAGACCUUGCUCCAGAGAGCUAGCCUUGUCUGCCCCCCUGGGCUCUUGCUUGCCCUCGACGGCCCCUCCGGGGACUCAAAGUGAACUUGUCCCAGUUUUCAUUCAUCAUCCCUCUGCCGCAGACCUGCUCCUCUCAGUAACACAGCCCCACUGACCACCUGCUUCAUCAGAAACCUGGGAGCCACGCUUGAUGCUUCCCCCCUCCACCCCUCUGCCUAAGCAGACACCAAGCCCAGUUAGCUGGAAAGAGCCCUGGGUGGCCAUCACGUGGUUCAAGCCACCCCUGCCUCCUACCCUGACUACAUAAAAUCACCUCCUCACGGGGCUCCGGGCCUGCCCUUGCCCUCCUCCAGUCUAUGGUCUACACUGUAGUCACUAUGGACCAUCUAAGGUGCAAAUCUGCUAUUGCGAGCCUCCGCUAUAAACCUUUCAUCGACUUCUCAUGGCUCUUAGGAUAAAGUCCAAACUGUGUGAGGCCCCUGGGUAACUCCCAGCCUCCUCUCUCACCACUCCUUCACACCCUCUACCCCAGACUUUAUGUCCAACUUUCAGUUCCUAGAAUGCACCAUCUCUUGUGUCAAGGCUUCCUACUUUCUGCUUUCUCUGGUCCCAACGUCCUUGCUGCCCCCUCCUCUCCAUGGUUCCCUUGCCUACCUAACUCCUACUCACUCCUCAAGAAAUCAGCAGUGUCACCUCCUCCGGCAAGCCUUCUAUGAUCUUCUCAAGGCUGGGUGAAGUGCUCCUCCCAGGUGUUCCCCUAGCACCCUGAGCUCACCUUGCUACAUUGCAAGUACCUAUGUAUGUCUCUGUGCCCUCUGUAAGCCUGGCAGGUCCACGAGGGCUUAUCUUGUCGAGGUUGUUGGUGGUGGAAACCUCAGUUCUUGGCCCAGAGCUUGGCACACAGAAGGUGCUCAACAAAGAUUUCUUGAAUGGAUGGAUGGAUGACAUGUGAAUGGAAACGGGGUUUAAAGUAUGGGUGCAUCGGAAAGGAAAAGGCAUUCUAGCAUAGGGAAUGAUGGAGCAGGUGCUCAGAGGUGAAGCUGUGGAGAUGGCCAUGGGCACUGUCACACUCAGGAGCAGAGGAGGCCACCCUGAUUGGAGCCGAGGGCAUGAGGGGAGUGAAGGACGAUGACGUCAAAAAGAGAGUUUGGAGCCAAGCUAAGGCAUCUGGACUUUAUUCUAGAGGCAGUGAGGAGCCUCCCAAGGUUAUCAGCAAGCUGUGACAUGGUCAAAGACACACUCAGGAACAUCUAUCUGGUGUGGCCUGCUGGCUGACCUGCAGGGCCCAGUGGAGAGAGGAGAAUUUCGAGACCACCUCCACCUUAGGGGGCCCCAGGGAGCCUGUUCUGAGCCCUUCUUUCGGCUGGCAAAACCUCGUCCAGCCGUAGGCUUCUGGCAGCCCUGGGCUGUGGAAGGAAAGCUCCCACCCAGAGCUUCCUCCUCCAGGGACAGGGGCUGAUCGCCCUUCCUGGUGACUCAGCCUAGAGGGGGCAGCUCCAAGAAGAAAGUCAUUGUUGACAGGAAGAGGGGUCAGAUUUUCCUUUCCCUGGCAGGCCAGCUUCCUGGGUACCAAGACAGCAACACAAGACAACAGAGUGGGGAGGGAGGCCCCUGAAUGGGCUGGGACCACGCCCGCCCCAACCCAUGCUGCCCGCCUACCUGCUCGGGACCCACAGAACCACAUGACAGACGGACAACCUGACAGCACCAGUUGUUGGUGAGUCAGGCAGCCCUGGAAACACUCUUACAGCCAGUUGGGGGUGUGUGAGGGCCAUGAAGGAGAGAGGAGGUGCCAUUCCAGGUUCCCAGGCUGGUCAGGGCAACGGGGCACACCAGCUAGAGCUGGUUCUGAGGCGUGCCUUCUGAGGGCAAUGCUGGGGUCAGUGAGGUCAUCAGAGUUGGGGUCAAAGUCUAGCAAGGCUUCUAAAGGAAGUGAGAAUUGAAGGAGGAGACAGAAGGCUACAGGCCCUCAGAAGGGUGUGAUCUGGAACUGGGACCGGGUCAGGAAACCAGUCCCUCUGACCCAGAAGCUGCCCAGAGCUAGCCCACUGUAGCAGUCACCAUGGCAGGCUGGCUCCAACUCCAAAAGUUGUUGGAGUUUAGAAUGUUAGGGUUUUAAAAUUUCUGUAGAAGAGUGAGGUCACUUGUGGUGGCCUAGUUCCUGCGCGAGGCCAUCCCACAGAAUUCUGUGUGAGCCAGAACGUUUAGUAAGGGCAGGCUGCAGUGCCUCUGGUCAACAAUGCUGUAUUGUACACUUAAAAUUUUGUUGAGGGAAUGUCUCCUGGUAAGUGUUCUUACCACAAAAACAAACAAAGCAAAACACAAAGGGACACAAGGAAACUUUUGGAGGUGACGGCUUUGUCCAUCCCCUUGGUUGUGGGGAUGGUUUCCUGGGUAUGUGCUUAUGUCCAAACUCAUCAAAUUGUUUACGUUAAAUACGUACAGCUUUUAGUACAUCAAUUAUACCUCAAUAAAGAUGUAAAAAGAGAGAGAGAGAGACAGCUGCAAGUUUGGGUCUGGAGAUAGGGAACAGAGGGGUCUUGGAGGGGAUCUGGAAUCCGUAUGCACACAGGCAUUUUCUCACCCAACAACAAGCAUAGGAACAUUGAACCAGAGGCCAGGACUUCUAAGUUCUCUUCCAGUUCCGUGGUCUGUCUCUGGGAGUGGCUCUAGGGAAGCCCACCGCAUCCCCAGUGUCUGGAAUUCCAACCUCCCCUGCACAGGAGGAAGUGGAAUCCAGACCCUCUUGCUCACCUGCUGGAAGGUGGGAGGGGGGCACCUCUGGCUGCAGGCAGUGGGUAGCUGGCUUUAGCAAGCCUGGGACCCAGAGAUAGAUGCAAAGGGCAGAAACGGGUGCCACACCUGGGCUGAGGGCUUUGAGCCUGGCAGUGUGAGGAGAGAAAGGUGAGGAGGGAGCUGGACUGAGGGGUGGGACAUUGAGAAAAGGAAUAUAUCCUGGGAAAGGGACUGAGGAUCAGGACAGAGAGGAGACAUGCCUCUCCCACAGCCCCCGCAGCCCCCUGAAUUGUCGAUCGGAAGGAACCCGGAUGUUCCUUUCUGUCCUGUCCUUCUUCACUUCCCUCCUCCGGGUCCUCCCAGGACUACACACCCUUCUGCUGGCUCGGAGCCGGGCUAAAGGCAGAAGCAGGAGCCCACAGCAGAGCUGGUGUGUCCCUCUGCCUGGAAGUGUCUUCUCUCUGUUGCCACAGAGCUUUCUCCUUGUCAUGUCAGUCUUGGCUUAAAUGUCACACCUUCCAGAAGCUAUCCCUGAUCAUCUUCUAAUGUAGACCAGCCUGAUGUCACUGUCACAGUCCCUAAUUCAUUCUCAUGACAGCCUUGACCACUACCUGGCAUUCUCUCUUAUUUCUUUCCUCGUUUGUUCCUGUACCCCCAUCCGAAACGUGAGCUCCACCAGCCCAGGGACCCUGUCUGCGUUGCUCACAGCUGUACCCCCAGCAACUAGAACAGUGCCUGGCACAGAGUAGGUGCUCAAAUAUGUAGUUUAUUCAUGAAUGAAUAGUAAUUGCUAACAUUUAUUGAGUGCUGACCAGAUGCCAAGCACUUUCUUGACGUUUUAACUCUGGGUCAGCAAACUACGAGCCUCAGGACAAAUCUGGCCCCCCACCUAUUUUUAUAAAUAAAGCCUUAUUGGCCUGCACGCCCAUUCGUGUAUGUAUAGUCUAGGUCUCCUUUCGAGAUAUGGUGGCAGAGCUGAAUAGUAGUGACAGAGACGGAUAGCCAGGAAACCAAUAAUACUUACUAUCUGGCCCUUUACAGAAAAGGUCUGCUGAACCCCGGGUGAACUCAUUGAAUCUUCUCCAGUACCACUGUGGCCAGUGCCAGCACCAUCAUCAUCUCACACAUGGCCCAGGUCACACAGUUAGUGAGGACAGAGGUUGGAUUCGAACCCAGACAGUCUUGCUCCAAGGCCCCUGUUCCUAGCUAAAGCCUUUCUAGGAGGGGACAGGAAGGGAAAGGGAAGGUCAGGAGAGUCAUAGACACGUGGGGUGGCCUGUAAAAAAGGAAAGGAAAGUGGAAAAUAGAGGAACUUAGGGCAGCUGGGAGGCCAGCAGAGCCCUUAGUACCCUGGGCCAUUGGCUUUGAGGCUUAGCCCUACUCUGAGACCCAGGGCUCUCAAAUUCUGUUCCCAGAGCAGGAGUCCCACCCCUAAACACAAAUAAAGAUGCCCUUUCCUCAAACUGAAGACGGAGUGA
This is a long non-coding RNA of Equus caballus (horse), 13303 nucleotides long. Lineage: Eukaryota; Metazoa; Chordata; Mammalia; Perissodactyla; Equidae. The record is from Ensembl.